AAGAAAAAAAAUAAGAGAUCAGAGGAGAUCUUUUUUUUUUUUCUUUCUUCUUUACUUUUUUACCCUGAACAACACUUAACAGUUCUAGCAACAGUUGUGCAACACAUGAACAACACAUGUGCAACACUUGAACAAUAGUUGUUUGACUAAAAAAGAAAAAAAAAAAAGUAAAGGGUUUGGGGGGAUCUUUUUUUUUUUUUUUUUUUUUUGAAUUUUG
This 217-nucleotide non-coding RNA is filed under the name Chromera velia. The record is from RNAcentral. Lineage: Eukaryota; Chromeraceae.